GCCAGAUUUGUGAAAUGUUAGCAUAUAGUCAUCACUGCCAGGUACAGACAGAUUUGUUGAACCCCUAAGCUGAUUUGAUGCCAACAUCACAGUGGAGUCUUUUGAAAAAUUUGGCUUUAAAGUCCAGGAUUAGAUGAUACGCUGCAGCCACCCCUCCGCCAUCACCCCUGCCCAUUAAACUACUCUUUUAAGCCUAGAAAUAGUUCCUAUAAUUGAACAACUUGAACUAAAUGGUAUACGAAAGUAGUAAAGGACUUGAGGGCUCAAAGUGACACUGCUAUAAACCAGCAUCUCCCAGUUGUAUAUGUUUGCUUGAAAUUUGUUUUAUACAGGAUAGAGAAACUCUGGUAUAAGAUGCCUGUGCUAGUUCAUUAGUAGCAGAAGGAUGGUAUUCAGGGAGCUGCCUUUAUAUUUGUAGUGUUGGAGACCUGUUACUGUUUAAUUGGUGGUUAUCAGCUGAAAAGUUCUGUUCCUGAGAUGUGCAAUAGUAGUGUUUGUACUGUUCAAUAGUGAUGGGGAACAGACAUACUGGAUUUUUUCUCCCACAUUGAAUCAUGUAGUUUGCAUGCUUUUUUGAAAUCAGACUGCUCAGCAGCGCUUUGGACUAGUUUUAUUAGGUUAAUUCACAUUUUAUACAUUAGAUAAGUAAAUAUUGAUGGCUUGAUUUAGUCUUUAAAAUUUUGAAAGCACAAAAAGUAUUUUAUUUUGAAUCAAAGGAGAAAAGCCAUUGGUUUGUUUUCACAGAUAGUAUCUUUGAUAACGAACUGUUUCAGUAAAAGGGUGCCUGGGAACCAACAGCACUAUUAAAACUCAGUCAAAGCAACUUCCUAGGAACCAGUUUUAGUGAGUCCUCUGCCUGUAAACCUCUCCUGGAAGUCUCUGAGAGGUGUGGGCCUUACGAGGUUGAUGAUGAUC
RNAcentral lists this long non-coding RNA (915 nucleotides) under Bos taurus (domestic cattle). RNAcentral describes it as "long non-coding RNA NONBTAT007542". Lineage: Eukaryota; Metazoa; Chordata; Mammalia; Artiodactyla; Bovidae. The record is from RNAcentral.